RNAcentral lists this ribosomal RNA (657 nucleotides) under Planococcus sp. SCULCB HNA-31. RNAcentral describes it as "bacterial SSU rRNA". It matches the Rfam family "Bacterial small subunit ribosomal RNA", at positions 62 to 698 of the family's 1533-position model. Lineage: Bacteria; Bacillati; Bacillota; Bacilli; Caryophanales; Caryophanaceae. The record is from RNAcentral.
UCGAGCGGAGCACUUUGGAGCUUGCUCCAUAGUGUGCUUCAGCGGCGGACGGGUGAGUAACACGUGGGCAACCUGCCCUGCAGAUCGGGAUAACUCCGGGAAACCGGUGCUAAUACCGAAUAGUUUGCGGCCUCUCCUGAGGCUGCACGGAAAGACGGUUUCGGCUGUCACUGCAGGAUGGGCCCGCGGCGCAUUAGCUAGUUGGUGGGGUAAUGGCCCACCAAGGCGACGAUGCGUAGCCGACCUGAGAGGGUGAUCGGCCACACUGGGACUGAGACACGGCCCAGACUCCUACGGGAGGCAGCAGUAGGGAAUCUUCCGCAAUGGACGAAAGUCUGACGGAGCAACGCCGCGUGAGUGACGAAGGUUUUCGGAUCGUAAAACUCUGUUGUGAGGGAAGAACAAGUACCAACUAACUACUGGUACCUUGACGGUACCUCACCAGAAAGCCACGGCUAACUACGUGCCAGCAGCCGCGGUAAUACGUAGGUGGCAAGCGUUGUCCGGAAUUAUUGGGCGUAAAGCGCGCGCAGGCGGUCCCUUAAGUCUGAUGUGAAAGCCCACGGCUCAACCGUGGAGGGUCAUUGGAAACUGGGGGACUUGAGUGCAGAAGAGGAAAGUGGAAUUCCAUGUGUAGCGGUGAAAUGCGCAGAUAUC